UACGGAGGGUGCAAGCGUUGAUCGGAAUUACUGGGCGUAAAGCGCGCGUAGGCGGGUGUGUAAGUCAGAUGUGAAAGCCCCGGGCUUAACCUGGGAACUGCAUUUGAUACUGUCUGACUCGAGUAUGGUAGAGGGGGGUGGAAUUCCCGGAGUAGCGGUGAAAUGCGUAGAUAUCGGGAGGAACACCAGUGGCGAAGGCGGCCCCCUGGACCAAUACUGACGCUGAGGUGCGAAAGCGUGGGGAGCAAACAGG
This 253-nucleotide ribosomal RNA is filed under the name uncultured bacterium. RNAcentral describes it as "partial 16S ribosomal RNA". It matches the Rfam family "Bacterial small subunit ribosomal RNA", at positions 524 to 776 of the family's 1533-position model. The record is from RNAcentral.